UGGGAUGUCGCCAAGUGGCUAAGGCAUCGGAUUUUGGUUCCGACAUUCGAAGGUUCGAGUCCUUCCAUCCCAGCCA
Molecule: transfer RNA, 76 nt
Filed under: Desulfovibrio sp.
Lineage: Bacteria; Pseudomonadati; Thermodesulfobacteriota; Desulfovibrionia; Desulfovibrionales; Desulfovibrionaceae
Description: tRNA-Gln
Rfam family: tRNA
About the family: Transfer RNA (tRNA) molecules are approximately 80 nucleotides in length.
Source: RNAcentral